Molecule: ribosomal RNA, 253 nt
Filed under: uncultured bacterium
Lineage: Bacteria
Description: partial 16S ribosomal RNA
Rfam family: Bacterial small subunit ribosomal RNA
Source: RNAcentral
UACGUAGGGUGCAAGCGUUGUCCGGAAUUAUUGGGCGUAAAGAGCUCGUAGGCGGUUCGUCGCGUCGGCUGUGAAAACCUGAGGCUCAACCUCAGGCCUGCAGUCGAUACGGGCGGACUUGAGUACUGCAGGGGAGACUGGAAUUCCUGGUGUAGCGGUGAAAUGCGCAGAUAUCAGGAGGAACACCGGUGGCGAAGGCGGGUCUCUGGGCAGUAACUGACGCUGAGUAGCGAAAGCGUGGGGAGCGAACAGG